GAUGAACGCUAGCUACAGGCUUAACACAUGCAAGUCGAGGGGCAGCAGGAUUUAGCAAUAGAUUGCUGGCGACCGGCGCACGGGUGAGUAACACGUAUCCAACCUGCCGAUAACUCGGGGAUAGCCUUUCGAAAGAAAGAUUAAUACCCGAUAGUAUAAUGAAACCGCAUGGUUUUGUUAUUAAAGAAUUUCGGUUAUCGAUGGGGAUGCGUUCCAUUAGGCAGUUGGUGAGGUAACGGCUCACCAAACCUUCGAUGGAUAGGGGUUCUGAGAGGAAGGUCCCCCACAUUGGAACUGAGACACGGUCCAAACUCCUACGGGAGGCAGCAGUGAGGAAUAUUGGUCAAUGGGCGCGAGCCUGAACCAGCCAAGUAGCGUGAAGGAUGACUGCCCUAUGGGUUGUAAACUUCUUUUAUAUGGGAAUAAAGUUUUCCACGUGUGGAAUUUUGUAUGUACCAUAUGAAUAAGGAUCAGCUAACUCCGUGCCAGCAGCCGCGGUAAUACGGAGGA
Molecule: ribosomal RNA, 510 nt
Filed under: uncultured bacterium
Lineage: Bacteria
Description: bacterial SSU rRNA
Rfam family: Bacterial small subunit ribosomal RNA
Source: RNAcentral